UAAUACGGAGGGUGCAAGCGUUAUCCGGAUUCACUGGGUUUAAAGGGUGCGUAGGUGGGUCUGUAAGUCUGUGGUGAAAUCUCUAAGCUUAACUUGGAAACUGCCAUGGAUACUAUAGAUCUUGAAUACCGUGGAGGAUAGCGGAAUAUGUCAUGUAGCGGUGAAAUGCUUAGAUAUGACAUAGAACACCAAUUGCGAAGGCAGCUGUCUACCCGAAUAUUGACACUGAGGCACGAAAGCGUGGGGAUCAAACAGGAUUAGAUACCCUGGUAGUCCACGCCCUAAACGAUGGAUACUCGACAUUUGCGAUAAACUGUAAGUGUCUGAGCGAAAGCAUUAAGUAUCCCACCUGGGAAGUACGAUCGCAAGAUUG
Molecule: ribosomal RNA, 373 nt
Filed under: uncultured bacterium
Lineage: Bacteria
Description: bacterial SSU rRNA
Rfam family: Bacterial small subunit ribosomal RNA
Source: RNAcentral